UACAGAGGUCUCGAGCGUUGUUCGGAUUCAUUGGGCGUAAAGGGUGCGUAGGUGGUCAGGUAAGUCGGAUGUGAAAUCCCGGGGCUCAACCUCGGAACUGCAUUCGAUACUGCCUGACUGGAGUACUGGAGAGGAGAUUGGAAUUUACGGUGUAGCAGUGAAAUGCGUAGAUAUCGUAAGGAAGACCAGUGGCGAAGGCGGAUCUCUGGACAGUUACUGACACUGAGGCGCGAAGGCCAGGGGAGCAAACGGG
This 253-nucleotide ribosomal RNA is filed under the name uncultured bacterium. Its description in RNAcentral is "partial 16S ribosomal RNA". It matches the Rfam family "Bacterial small subunit ribosomal RNA", at positions 524 to 776 of the family's 1533-position model. The record is from RNAcentral.